AUGCAAAGUAGUGGAAGUCAGGCAGGUAGCAGUGGGCAGGCUGGCGCUGGCAAAAACAAGAAGCAGAGGAAGCCCGCUGGUAAGUCUGAGCAGAAAAAGGCUGAAGACACAGAUCAAAGCGCAGACUCUGGGGAGUUUCAUAUUGAUCCCAAGUUUGCUGGUGCUAUAUGCUACAACUGCGGUUUGCCUGGCCAUUUCGUGGGGAUGUGUUCUAUCCCAAAGAUCUAUUUCAUAUGCAGGAACCCUGGCCACCAUAUGGAUGUUUGCCCUACUUGGUACAAAACCUAUCCUUUUAGCCAGUACUUGGGCAGUGCAAACAGUGGACUGGGGUUUUACCAUAUUGAGACUGGAGAGAAAAGUGAUGCAGAUUGGCUUAAUUUUGAUAAUGUUGGGUUGGUGUAUGUUCAAGAGGGUGAGAUAAGUGCCCAAGAACUAGAGAAAUGCUUUGCUGAUAUGUGGAUGACAAAUUGGCCAUGGCAGAUUAGAGCAUAUGAUGAAAAGCAAUAUCUGGUCAGAUUUCCACCCAACAAAAAGAUUCAGGAACUGGUUGAGUAUCCAUCUAUUAAUCUUAAGAAGAAGGGAGUAACCAUUCUAUUUAGAGACUGGAAUGGAGAGCUUCCAGCCUAUGACAGUUUACAGGAAAUCUGGAUUGAGAUUGGAGGGCUGUCACCAAAGUGGUGUUCUUGGAAUGUAAUUGCUCAGAUCACAUCCUCUCUGGGUUUCUUAAUGAAUGUAGACUGGCAUGGCAUUUUCAGAAGCUUUUAUGAAAAAAUUAGGGUCCAAGUUGCUGUGAGAGACCCUACAAGGAUUCCCGAGGACAGAAUGUUUGAAUUUUGUCAAGAGCUUUUCCUGUUGACUUUCAAAGUGGAGGAUGACACUCUCAUGGCCUCCCCACAUGACCCUAGUGAUCCUGGUGAAGAUGAUUAA
RNAcentral lists this ribosomal RNA (927 nucleotides) under Triticum aestivum (bread wheat). Its description in RNAcentral is "partial small subunit ribosomal RNA". The record is from RNAcentral. Lineage: Eukaryota; Viridiplantae; Streptophyta; Magnoliopsida; Poales; Poaceae.